RNAcentral lists this ribosomal RNA (253 nucleotides) under uncultured bacterium. Its description in RNAcentral is "partial 16S ribosomal RNA". It matches the Rfam family "Bacterial small subunit ribosomal RNA", at positions 524 to 776 of the family's 1533-position model. The record is from RNAcentral.
UACGGAGGGUGCAAACGUUGCUCGGAAUCAUUGGGCGUAAAGCGUGUGUAGGCGGUUUGUUAAGUCGGGUGUGAAAGCCCUAGGCUCAACCUAGGAAGUGCAUUCGAAACUAGCAGACUUGAGUACGGGAGAGGGUCGCGGAAUUCCCGGUGUAGAGGUGAAAUUCGUAGAUAUCGGGAGGAACACCAGUGGCGAAGGCGGCGACCUGGACCGAUACUGACGCUGAGACACGAAAGCGUGGGGAGCAAACAGG